This 282-nucleotide ribosomal RNA is filed under the name uncultured Oscillospiraceae bacterium. RNAcentral's name for it is "partial 16S ribosomal RNA". It matches the Rfam family "Bacterial small subunit ribosomal RNA", at positions 62 to 339 of the family's 1533-position model. Lineage: Bacteria; Bacillati; Bacillota; Clostridia; Eubacteriales; Oscillospiraceae. The record is from RNAcentral.
UCGAACGGAGCUUAGAGAGCUUGCUUUUUAAGCUUAGUGGCGAACGGGUGAGUAACGCGUGAGUAACCUGCCCUAGAGUGGGGGACAACAGUUGGAAACGACUGCUAAUACCGCAUAAGCCCACGGGUCGGCAUCGACCUGAGGGAAAAGGAGUGAUCCGCUUUGAGAUGGCCUCGCGUCCGAUUAGCUAGUUGGUGAGGUAAUGGCCCACCAAGGCGACGAUCGGUAGCCGGACUGAGAGGUUGAACGGCCACAUUGGGACUGAGACACGGCCCAAACUCC